AGCAGCCGCGGUAAUUCCAGCUCCAAUAGCGUAUAUUAAAGUUGUUGCAGUUAAAAAGCUCGUAGUUGAAUUUCGGAAUCUGUCCGUUGGUCGGGCUUCAUUGUCCGUACUGAUGUGAUGGGUUCUUACCUUCUGAAUAACCAGCAUGUCAUUAAUUUGGUGUGUUGGGGAAGCAGGACUAUUACCUUGAAAAAAUUUAGAGUGCUCAAAGCAGGCUAGUGCCUGAAUACAUUAGCAUGGAAUAAUAAAAUAGGACGGCAUGGUUCUAUUUUGUUGGUUUCUAGGACCACCGUAAUGAUUAAUAGGGAUAGUUGGGGGCAUUAGUAUUCAAUCGUCAGAGGUGAAAUUCUUGGAUUUAUUGAAGACUAACUUCUGCGAAAGCAUUUGCCAAGGAUGUUUUCAUUAAUCAAGAACGAAAGUUAGGGGAUCGAAGACGAUCAGAUACCGUCGUAGUCUUAACCAUAAACUAUGCCGACUAGGGAUUCGGACGAUGUUAAUUUUAUAAUUGACUCGUUCGGCC
Molecule: ribosomal RNA, 520 nt
Filed under: uncultured Acaulospora
Lineage: Eukaryota; Fungi; Glomeromycota; Glomeromycetes; Diversisporales; Acaulosporaceae
Description: SSU rRNA
Rfam family: Eukaryotic small subunit ribosomal RNA
Source: RNAcentral